Sphaerodactylus townsendi is the source of this 1666-nucleotide long non-coding RNA. RefSeq lists it as uncharacterized. The transcript has 3 exons. Lineage: Eukaryota; Metazoa; Chordata; Lepidosauria; Squamata; Sphaerodactylidae. The record is from RefSeq and is a predicted model, not a curated record.
UCCCACAGGAUCGCUGGAAAGAAGCAAAUUUUGAGAAGAACCCUUUCUUGGAAGGCUUUGUGGCAUUUGGAGGAGGGUCACAUCAGUGCCCAGGAAGGUGGUUUGCUGUAGCAGAGAUUCAAAUCUUCGUCGUUUUGUUCCUUUAUAAAUAUGAAUGCUGCCUUAUCGACCCAGUACCAAAGGAGAGCCUGCUCCACGUAACAGGGACGCAGCAACCGGCAGGACCGUGCAGAAUUCGGUAUAAAAGAAGAGCAUAGAAACCAUCACUGGCACAGAAAUAAUCAAUCCCAUGAUCAUGCCAGCCUCUGCCAAGACUGUUGAUCUCAAGGGCUUCUGAUGCCCUUCAGGGGCUUCCUAUGUCUUUCCGGCACCACAUCUGGAGUUCGAAAAUCAGAGUUUUAGCCACACUGCGCAACUUGUGUAUUUUUAUACCCUGCAUUUUGGAAUUCGAAUUCCUUUACCCAGCCAGCUUCUUUUCAGUCAUCCCCUUUUUCAUAUGGAUCCAACACCUCUCUAUUUAACAGACUAUCUCUAGUGUCAAACAGUGGUGGAUUCCACGCACCAUAAAUGUAACAUCUUUAGGAUGUUAUAAAAAAAAUCCGUUUGGGGAGUUUGGGUCCCCACAGCAUGAAAGAACACAAGCACUGUCAGCCAAAAUGGAUCUUUCCCCCCACCUGCUGCAUGAUGCUCUUGCCAAUUUCACAGUGCACCCGCCAUUGUGUGUGCUACCGCAGAUUCUCUGUUGAGUUUCUCCACUGAGAUUUUGUCUGCUUGCAGCUCAUCCAUUUGCUAUUUCACUGAACAAGUUAGAUGAAUAAAGUUUGUGUAGCCUAGUGACCCUGUGCGCAUAUCAUUUUUCCUUUUUUGUUGUUUUGUUUUGAGGGGGAUAUCUGCGAAGCUACAGCCACAUGACUAGAGGAUCUGCAAUAUGUGCAUAUUUGUGUUGCUGUAGCUUCACAGACAUCCCCCUCAAAACAAAAAAGGAAAAAUGACACAUGCACGGGAUUGCCGGGCUAAGCAAACUUUAUUCAUCUACUUCGUACAGUGAAAUAGUAAAUGGACAGGCUGCAAGCAGAAGAAAUUUCUGUGAGGAAUCUCCAAGGAGAAUCUCCUGCAGCCCACACAAUGGCAGGCAUGAGCAACAAGAACGAAAAUAAGAGAGUUGGUUGGGAGAAAUAAAGCAUUCCUGCCUGCUGGUGUUCGCUCAGCAACCAGGAAUCGUCCUCAGCCUGGGAUGGGGGGAAGAGAUCACUAGAUUAGCAAACUUUGAUAAAUCCAGAUUGAGAGAAAUAAGGUUGAACUCAUUCUGGAGAAGAGAGCUCUGUGAAGUUCUUCCACAAAACGCUAUUUAUAACAUCCUAAAGACAGCUCUGGUUUAGGAUCAAGAGCAAAGACAAACAGCUUUGUCCCAGACACGCAGCAGAAAGCAAAUGGGACCCAAGGAAAACUUUCAAGAGUAGCAAAGAUUUAACUGAGUUCCAUUGACAGGAGAGUUCGGUUAUAUCUUCGUGUGGAAUUGAGCCUGACAUGCUACAGACCGAGAGCUCCUUAUUCCAGCGCUUUGAUGGUGAAUUUCCUAGGAAGGAUUUGAUGGAGAUAUAAAUAUCUUUUUCUCCAUGAGUGUCAUGGGAAGUUAAUUAUAGCAGUGACCUUGUUACAAAGAUUG